RNAcentral lists this long non-coding RNA (200 nucleotides) under Elaeis guineensis (African oil palm). RNAcentral's name for it is "long non-coding RNA (EGUI_LNC079573)". Lineage: Eukaryota; Viridiplantae; Streptophyta; Magnoliopsida; Arecales; Arecaceae. The record is from RNAcentral.
GUAUCCAUGCUUCGUAGUUGCUAAUUCUUUGGCAUUAAAUUAUCAGCAUCAACAUAGAUAUUGGUCUUUUUGGAAGCAUUUGAAACUCAUGUUCUAUCUUAGCCCAUCUCCUCCCCAACACUGAAAAAAAAUCUAAAACAUGUUAAAGUUGCAACCCAACCCGUUGGGUGCAUUUGAUUGUAGAAAUAGAAAGCUAGAUU